RNA transcript from Malaclemys terrapin pileata, 1120 nucleotides. It is a transcript of the gene named centromere/kinetochore protein zw10 homolog, with no coding region annotated. The transcript is spliced from 2 exons. The record is from RefSeq and is a predicted model, not a curated record. NCBI's taxonomy places the organism in Eukaryota, Metazoa, Chordata, Testudines, Emydidae.
CUCUAUGCAUCCGAAGAAGUGAGGUUUUUACUCACGAAAGCUUAUGCCCAAAUAAAUCUGUUAGUCUUUAAGGUGCCACCAGACUCCUUGUUGUUUCUAUGGGUGUUUGUUUUUCUGAUCCCGAGUCCAUCCCGUCUACCUAGGGCGAAGUCUGCAACACGAUUAACAAGAAGUACAACGAGUUCCUCCCCAGCAUGCAGAGCGCUGAGGACUUGGUGUCACAAGUGGACAGUCUGUCCAGCAACAUCGACCAACUGAAAUCCAGGAUGGAAAAUGAGGUGACGCAGCAGCGGUUUCACUUUAUCUGUAUCUAGCAGCUUUCAUCCUGCAUCAUCCCAAAGCAGUGCAACUCCACUGAUGUGCAGCCAUGAGCAUGCUGGCCAGGAAGGCAGGGGAGGAGGAUCUUGGCUAAGGAUUCCAGGAUGAAUCGCCGCCUCUUAUAAAGAGUGCCCUUGACUGAAACAUACCGAUGUAUGAUGUAUCAGACCUGGGAUCGAAAUAAAGGGCGGGCUGUAGCUUAUUCAGUCAUUAUGUAGCUGAAUGGUUUUCCGUGGUGCUCAUCACAGUAGUUUCGGAGCCCCUCAAGUAUAUUAAUGCAUUUAUCUUCUAAGCCUCACCGCAUUGAGAUAGGGAGGAAUCAUUCUUAUUUUGCUGAUGGGGAAACUGUGGCACAAAGAAGUGGAAUGACCUUGGCUAAGUAUCCGAGGGGUAGCCGUCUUAGUCUGGAUCUGUAAAAAGCCACAAAGAGUCCUAUGGCACAGGAGAUUCUGUGCAGAGCUUGGAAUUGAGCCCAGAUUUUCUGCAUAUUGAUUGCAAGACUGUCCUUCCCGUGGCCUCCUUAUAUUUUUUGUGUGUGUCGUCCUUUCUAUCCCCCUGGACUAAUUCUGCCUUGCCACUCUGGCUUUGAAAGGUCCGGCAAGAUCUGAACGUGGCCAUUGCGGAAUUUACUGAACUGAAGCAGCAGCUGGAGCGAGACUCGUUGGUUCUGAGUGUGCUGAAACAGCUGCAAGAGGUGAGGAAGGAGGCUGGGAAAAUGGCUUCAGAUGGCAAAGUGUUUCUGUACUUUGUUCCACAGACCUCUUCCUGGGUCUCCAUAGUGAAUAAAUAAUCAUGACUCUUC